RNAcentral lists this ribosomal RNA (492 nucleotides) under uncultured bacterium. Its description in RNAcentral is "partial 16S ribosomal RNA". It matches the Rfam family "Bacterial small subunit ribosomal RNA", at positions 29 to 507 of the family's 1533-position model. The record is from RNAcentral.
AGUGAACGCUGGCGGUAGGCCUAACACAUGCAAGUCGAACGGCAGCACAGUAAGAUCUUGCUCUUACGGGUGGCGAGUGGCGGACGGGUGAGGCAUACAUCGGAAUCUACUUUUUCGUGGGGGAUAACGUAGGGAAACUUACGCUAAUACCUCAUACGAUCUACGGCUUAAAGCAGGGGAUCUUCGGACCUUUCGCGAUUGAAUGAGCUGAUGUCGGAUUAGCUAGUUGGCGGGGUAAAGGCCCACCAAGGCAACGAUCCGUAGCUGGUCUGAGAGGAUGAUCAGCCACACUGGAACUGAGACACGGUCCAGACUCCUACGGGAGGCAGCAGUGGGGAAUAUUGGACAAUGGGCGCAAGCCUGAUCCAGCCAUACCGCGUGAGUGAAGAAGGCCUUCGGGUUGUAAAGCCCUUUUAUUGGGAAAGAAAAACAGCAGAUUAAUACCCCGCUGUUCUGACGGUACCCAAAGAAUAAGCACCGGCUAACUUCGUG